UACGUUCCCGGACCUUGUACACACCGCCCCGUCAAGCCAUGGGAGCUUGGGGUGCCUGAAGACGGUGACUUUACGGGGAGCUGUCUAAGGUAAAACAGGUGACUGGGGCU
Molecule: ribosomal RNA, 110 nt
Filed under: uncultured bacterium
Lineage: Bacteria
Description: partial 16S ribosomal RNA
Rfam family: Bacterial small subunit ribosomal RNA
Source: RNAcentral